CCAGGUACACCUAGGAAAUACAGCCACGGUAAAAAUCCUCAGAUAUUGAUUCAUUUGAAUGUAGUCUUUCGUGGGGAACUACAGUGUCAGGAGGUACGCAAACGGUCUAUCAGCAAUGAAGCCAUAGUUUCAGUAGGUUUGAAUGACCUGUACCUGAGCUCCAUCACUGCAAAUCCUGAUGUCCGGCAGAUCUGUCAAUCUGUGCAUUGACCUCAUGACUUACCAGGCAAUGACUGAAGGUCAUACCUGCCAUUUUGCUCACAAGCUGAAUCUCUGUGAUUACAUGUAAAUCCUUUGCACUGUCAUCAAAAAUCAGAAUGUAUUUCCUGCAGAACAUCUAAUGGCCAAUGGAAAGGAUCUUUCUACUGACAUCAGGCUGCUUUGUAUCUCACUGUAACUCACUCAGUAGCACAAG
This 415-nucleotide long non-coding RNA is filed under the name Numida meleagris (helmeted guineafowl). Its description in RNAcentral is "lncRNA (ENSNMEG00000013857.1)". The record is from RNAcentral. Lineage: Eukaryota; Metazoa; Chordata; Aves; Galliformes; Numididae.